This 253-nucleotide ribosomal RNA is filed under the name uncultured bacterium. RNAcentral's name for it is "partial 16S ribosomal RNA". It matches the Rfam family "Bacterial small subunit ribosomal RNA", at positions 524 to 776 of the family's 1533-position model. The record is from RNAcentral.
UACGUAGGUGGCAAGCGUUGUCCGGAAUUAUGGGGCGUAAAGCGCGCGCAGGUGGUUCCUUAAGUCUGAUGUGAAAGCCCACGGCUCAACCGUGGAGGGUCAUUGGAAACUGGGGAACUUGAGUGCAGAAGAGGAAAGUGGAAUUCCAAGUGUAGCGGUGAAAUGCGUAGAGAUUUGGAGGAACACCAGUGGCGAAGGCGACUUUCUGGUCUGUAACUGACACUGAGGCGCGAAAGCGUGGGGAGCAAACAGG